AGGGGUUUGGAUCCUGGCUCAGAACGAACGCUGGCGGCGUGGAUGAGGCAUGCAAGUCGGACGGGAUUACUUGGACGGAUCCUUCGGGUGAAGACCUUGUAUGAGAGUGGCGAACUGGUGAGGAACACGUGGGCAAUCUGCCCUUAUGUCUGGGAUAGCCCUUCGAAAGGAGGAGUAAUACCGGAUGUGGUCGCCCCGCACCUGCGGGGUUGUCUAAAGGUGGGGAUCUUCGGACCUGCCGCAUAUGGAUGGGCCCGCGUCCUAUCAGCUUGUUGGUGAGGUAACGGCUCACCAAGGCUUAGACGGGUAGCUGGUCUGAGAGGAUGGUCAGCCACACUGGGACUGAGACACUGCCCAGACUCCUACGGGAGGCUGCAGUCGAGAAUCAUUCGCAAUGCACGAAAGUGUGACGAUGCGACGCCGCGUGGAGGAUGACGGCCUUCGGGUUGUAAACUCCUGUCAUGAAGGAAAAACGAUCACGGGGUGAAUAGUCUCGUGGUGUGAUGGUACUUCAAGAGGAAGCCACGGCUAACUCUGUGCCAGCAGCCGCGGUAAUACAGAGGUGGCGAGCGUUGUUCGGAUUUACUGGGCGUAAAGGGUGCGUAGGCGGCUUUGUAUGUCGGAUGUGAAAUCUCACCGUUCAACGGUGAAACUGCAUUCGAAACUGCAGGGCUAGAGUACAGGAGAGGAAAGUGGAAUUCUCGGUGUAGCGGUGAAAUGCGUGGAUAUCGAGAGAACGCCGAUGGCGAAGGCAACUUUCUAGACUGAUACU
Molecule: ribosomal RNA, 772 nt
Filed under: uncultured Verrucomicrobiae bacterium
Lineage: Bacteria; Pseudomonadati; Verrucomicrobiota; Verrucomicrobiia
Description: bacterial SSU rRNA
Rfam family: Bacterial small subunit ribosomal RNA
Source: RNAcentral